RNAcentral lists this non-coding RNA (532 nucleotides) under Mus musculus (house mouse). The record is from RNAcentral. Lineage: Eukaryota; Metazoa; Chordata; Mammalia; Rodentia; Muridae.
GGCUUGAGGACCGUAUUCAUGGAAGAGGAUUGAACAGACUACUGAGUUCUUAAGAGAAAAAUGGCACUUAAGAAAUUGAUGGUGAUAUCAAAGGAAGGUUACUUAUUACUCUUGGACUUUGAUGAUGAGGACGAUGACAUAAAAGUUUCAGAGGAGGCUCUUGCGGAAGAGAUGAAGUAGACAGUAUGUUGGAUAAAUCUGGAGUAAAGAACCCAGCAAUUGGUAAAGAUGAGAAUAUAUCGCCUCAAGUAAAAGGAGAUGAAGACAUGGGAGAUGAARUUGACAGUAUGUUGGCUACAUCUGGAGGUCUUUUCUCCUGAGAACACGGGACUCCAGCAUCUUCGGAUUCUGCUCUUGGAGAUGUGUGCAGCUGAACAGAGCGUUGAGGAAACGUCAGUGAUUUUAUAACUACUUAUCAUGUUGGGAGAUUGUUGUGAUGAUUGCCUGGACUCUCAGAUGUUACACAGGCUGCAUCAUUGGACUGAAAGUGAAUGGCCCAUGUGUUGCCACUGAUGUGAGCCAUUUGCAAGCC